Molecule: ribosomal RNA, 443 nt
Filed under: uncultured bacterium
Lineage: Bacteria
Description: partial 16S ribosomal RNA
Rfam family: Bacterial small subunit ribosomal RNA
Source: RNAcentral
CCUACGGGAGGCAGCAGUGGGGAAUAUUGGGCAAUGGAGGAAACUCUGACCCAGCAACGCCGCGUGAAUGAUGAAGGUCUUCGGAUUGUAAAGUUCUUUUCUAAGGGAAGAAGAAAGUGACGGUACCUUAGGAAUAAGCCUCGGCUAACUACGUGACAGCAGCCGCGGUAAUACGGAGGAGGCGGGCGUUAUCCGGAAGGACUGGGCGUAAGGGGGGCGUAGGUGGAUUGGCAAGUCAGUAGUGAAACUCCAGGGCUCAACCUUGGAACUGCUACGAAAACUGUUGGACUGGAGUGCAGGAGGGGAAACCGGAAUUCCUAGUGUAGCGGGGAAAGGGGUAGAUAUUAGGAGGAACACUAGUGGCGAAGGGGGGUUGCUAGACUGUAACUGACGCUGAGGCACGAAAGCGUGGGGAGAAAAAAGGAUUAGAUACCCGAGUAGUC